UACGAAGGGGGCUAGCGUUGUUCGGAAUCACUGGGCGUAAAGCGCACGUAGGCGGAUUGUCAAGUCAGGGGUGAAAUCCUGGAGCUCAACUCCAGAACUGCCUUUGAUACUGGCGAUCUCGAGUCCGGGAGAGGUGAGUGGAACUGCGAGUGUAGAGGUGAAAUUCGUAGAUAUUCGCAAGAACACCAGUGGCGAAGGCGGCUCGCUGGCCCGGUACUGACGCUGAGGUGCGAAAGCGUGGGGAGCAAACGGG
RNAcentral lists this ribosomal RNA (253 nucleotides) under uncultured bacterium. RNAcentral describes it as "partial 16S ribosomal RNA". It matches the Rfam family "Bacterial small subunit ribosomal RNA", at positions 524 to 776 of the family's 1533-position model. The record is from RNAcentral.